Molecule: ribosomal RNA, 496 nt
Filed under: uncultured bacterium
Lineage: Bacteria
Description: partial 16S ribosomal RNA
Rfam family: Bacterial small subunit ribosomal RNA
Source: RNAcentral
AUGGACGCUGGCGGCGUGCCUAAUACAUGCAAGUCGAGCGAACAGACGAGGAGCUUGCUCCUCUGACGUUAGCGGCGGACGGGUGAGUAACACGUGGAUAACCUACCUAUAAGACUGGGAUAACUUCGGGAAACCGGAGCUAAUACCGGAUAAUAUAUUGAACCGCAUGGUUCAAUAGUGAAAGACGGUUUUGCUGUCACUUAUAGAUGGAUCCGCGCCGCAUUAGCUAGUUGGUAAGGUAACGGCUUACCAAGGCAACGAUGCGUAGCCGACCUGAGAGGGUGAUCGGCCACACUGGAACUGAGACACGGUCCAGACUCCUACGGGAGGCAGCAGUAGGGAAUCUUCCGCAAUGGGCGAAAGCCUGACGGAGCAACGCCGCGUGAGUGAUGAAGGUCUUCGGAUCGUAAAACUCUGUUAUUAGGGAAGAACAAAUGUGUAAGUAACUAUGCACGUCUUGACGGUACCUAAUCAGAAAGCCACGGCUAACUACGUG